AUCUUUCUAGUAUCAAAUUAGUACAUGUGACUUCCAAUCACCUAGCCUUGGUUAAAAUCCAAGGAAAGAUA
This 71-nucleotide transfer RNA is filed under the name Lagocephalus sceleratus (silver-cheeked toadfish). Its description in RNAcentral is "tRNA-Gly". It matches the Rfam family "tRNA". Rfam says of the family: Transfer RNA (tRNA) molecules are approximately 80 nucleotides in length. Their secondary structure includes four short double-helical elements and three loops (D, anti-codon, and T loops). Further hydrogen bonds mediate the characteristic L-shaped molecular structure. tRNAs have two regions of fundamental functional importance: the anti-codon, which is responsible for specific mRNA codon recognition, and the 3' end, to which the tRNAs corresponding amino acid is attached (by aminoacyl-tRNA synthetases). tRNAs cope with the degeneracy of the genetic code in two manners: having more than one tRNA (with a specific anti-codon) for a particular amino acid; and 'wobble' base-pairing, i.e. permitting non-standard base-pairing at the 3rd anti-codon position. The record is from RNAcentral. Lineage: Eukaryota; Metazoa; Chordata; Actinopteri; Tetraodontiformes; Tetraodontidae.